This 482-nucleotide ribosomal RNA is filed under the name uncultured bacterium. RNAcentral describes it as "partial 16S ribosomal RNA". It matches the Rfam family "Bacterial small subunit ribosomal RNA", at positions 30 to 507 of the family's 1533-position model. The record is from RNAcentral.
AUUGAACGCUGGCGGCAUGCUUUACACAUGCGAGUCGAACGGUAACAGGCCGCAAGGUGCUGACGAGUGGCGAACGGGUGAGUAAUGCAUCGGAACGUGCCCAGUCGUGGGGGAUAACUACUCGAAAGAGUAGCUAAUACUGCAUACGAUCUAUGGAUGAAAGCGGGGGACCGUAAGGCCUCGCGCGAUUGGAGCGGCCGAUGUCAGAUUAGGUAGUUGGUGGGGUAAAGGCUCACCAAGCCAACGAUCUGUAGCUGGUCUGAGAGGACGACCAGCCACACUGGGACUGAGACACGGCCCAGACUCCUACGGGAGGCAGCAGUGGGGAAUUUUGGACAAUGGGCGCAAGCCUGAUCCAGCAAUGCCGCGUGCAGGAAGAAGGCCUUCGGGUUGUAAACUGCUUUUGUACGGAACGAAACGGCUCUGGUUAAUACCCGGGGCUAAUGACGGUACCGUAAGAAUAAGCACCGGCUAACUACGUG